GAAGGGAAGGAUCGGCUGACUGGGCGAGCUGAUCAGCCAUGCCGCGUGUGUGAAGAAGGUCUUCGGAUUGUAAAGCACUUUAAGUUGGGAGGAAGGGCAGUAAGUUAAUACCUUGCUGUUUUGACGUUACCGACAGAAUAAGCACCGGCUAACUCUGUGCCAGCAGCCGCGGUAAUACAGAGGGUGCAAGCGUUAAUCGGAAUUACUGGGCGUAAAGCGCGCGUAGGUGGUUCGUUAAGUUGGAUGUGAAAUCCCCGGGCUCAACCUGGGAACUGCAUCCAAAACUGGCGAGCUAGAGUAUGGUAGAGGGUGGUGGAAUUUCCUGUGUAGCGGUGAAAUGCGUAGAUAUAGGAAGGAACACCAGUGGCGAAGGCGACCACCUGGACUGAUACUGACACUGAGGUGCGAAAGCGUGGGGAGCAAACAGGAUUAGAUACCCCGGUAGUCA
Molecule: ribosomal RNA, 448 nt
Filed under: Pseudomonas sp.
Lineage: Bacteria; Pseudomonadati; Pseudomonadota; Gammaproteobacteria; Pseudomonadales; Pseudomonadaceae
Description: bacterial SSU rRNA
Rfam family: Bacterial small subunit ribosomal RNA
Source: RNAcentral